RNAcentral lists this ribosomal RNA (406 nucleotides) under uncultured bacterium. Its description in RNAcentral is "partial 16S ribosomal RNA". It matches the Rfam family "Bacterial small subunit ribosomal RNA", at positions 30 to 526 of the family's 1533-position model. The record is from RNAcentral.
AUUGAACGCUGGCGGCAGGCCUAACACAUGCAAGUCGAACGAGUGGCGGACGGGUGAGUAAUGUCUGGGAAACUGCCCGAUGGAGGGGGAUAACUACUGGAAACGGUAGCUAAUACCGCAUACCAUCAGAUGUGCCCAGAUGGGAUUAGCUAGUAGGUGGGGUAAUGGCUCACCUAGGCGACGAUCCCUAGCUGGUCUGUGAGGAUGAUCAGCGACAUGGGAACGGAGACACGGUCCAGACUCCUGCGGGAGGCAGCAGUGGGGAAUAUUGCACAAUGGGCGCAAGCAUGGUGCAGCCAGGCCGCGUGUAUUAAGAAGGCCUUCGGGUUGUAAAGUACUUUCAGCGGGGAGGCGUUACCCGCAGAAGAAGCACCGGCUAACUCCGUGCCAGCAGCCGCGGUAAUAC